GUGAGGGAGGGAUGGACAGAAACAGAUAUCUGAUAUCAUCUAGGGGUUGGUCUGUACACAUUUACUCAAAAAAAGAAAAAUAAAUCAGGAAAAAAAGGUGGGAGGGAAAGGAGAAGAAGGGAGAGGGAGACAGAUGAAUGGAUGCAAGGACAAACGGAUGGACAGAGAGGCGGGAUUUGGAGGACAAGAAAGCUAAUUAUCCAGCUCGUCUGUUGGGCUGCACGGGGAGAGGAAGUGAUGCGAGCUACUAUAGGACAUGCACCCCUCUAUCCCCUCCCCAUCCACAGUUUCCUGCUGUGCUCUGAUGUCAGCUCUCUUUAGACAACAUGUGUGCUACCGACACGUGCCAGAAAGAAACUCUUUGUUUACCCCCCCACGCCAUCUAUUCUUCCCUCCAUAGCCUCCAUCUUUGUUCUGCGUACCAGCAGGCUCCCUGGUUGCUGAAGAGAACCACAGCUCAGCUGAGAUGUGCUCCCGUACACAUUGUUAUGGAGUAGAGACCCGUCUGAAUCAUCCAGAAGGAGAGGAAACGGGUCCAGGAAACCAUAAUCAGAAGUUCCAAGAGAGAAAAGUUUCAGUGCCAGGACUACCUUCAGCUCUGGGCAAUCACCCUCAUGAACAUGGAUGCCUGAUUUCAUGGGGAUGAAAGAACUCUUGGAAGAUUUGUUGCCUCACAAACUUCCCUCUUCUGCCCGACACAGAGUAGGCGCACCGGCCUCGGCUAACCGCGACUACACCGACUCCAAACACACGACCAUCCACUUGCUCCUAUCUGGCAUGUGUAAAUGUGAACGAUGGGCACUUCUUACUGCGGCCUAUGGGAUGUGUGAACACAACAUGGGAAGAGAUGUGGCCAGAUGAAGACGAAGAAAAGAAGAAAAGUAAGAAAGUGAAGAAAGACUGGAGCAAACAAACAAAUCAAACUUCGUAAAGCCCUCUGCUGGGCUGGGGCCGGGUCUGGAGUGAGUGUAUGUGUAUAUAUGAGGCGAUGUGAACAGAGUGCCGGGGAUUAGGACAGAUCCUGGGCUGUCCAACUCACAGCUGGCUGAUGAUCCAAUCCUGGAGCACAGCGCAGCGCACCAGCCGCCAUGGGACCCCCGGAUGCGUGCCUGCAUCUGCGCGUGUGUGUCUGUGUGUACCGGCAUGUGGGUUCAACCGAUGUGCAUAUCAAUGUACAUGUUUGCAAAAAUGCAGUUGUACAAAUAAACAGGCUUGUGUGUUUGCAGUUUGUGCACCGAAUGGAAGGUAGGGGCUGUCGAAAUUCAAACAGUAGUCUCAGCUUCAUGUUUGAAGGCAAGCUGUGAUGGUUUGGGCCAAGAGUGGAGGAAAGCAUGAAAGGGAGGAACGAGCAAGUUAUAAAGAGAGACCCAAAGAGCUUGCUGCGGAGGCUGGUCAGACAAACACCUUCCAGCUUUGCUAGCAGAAACACACACACACACAUAUGCACACACACACUGUACAGGACAGCAAGAGAGGCUAUGACAAUGAAUAAAAUACAUGCAUAUCUAUGUAGCUCUCAAAUGACGUUGUAGAAGGAGCAAGAAUCUUUUGAACGUUGUUUUGUGAAGAAGAAAAAAAGCAUCAGUGACAAGAAAGGGAAAAAUGCAAAAAUAUUUUUUAAAUUAAAAAACAGUAGUGGACUAAACCGAAACAAAGACUGUGGACAUGUACAUGUGUCUUUACUAAUCUGAUCUGCAGCCUAACUCACAAAACAAACUUGUUCAUCCUAAAUUGUAUUAAACAACAAAUCAAAGUUUUACAACUUUACUUAAAUAUAAAAAGGGGCUUUAGUGCUAAGAUCUGUUUAACUUGAUUAUGAAGCGUUUGACUUUCCUCAUGUAAAGAUAAAUUUAUGAAUUUUAUCAACCUAUAAAAGCACAAUAUCUAAAAUUUCUAAUUCAUUUUGUCAGAUAUAAUUAAUAAAAUGUGUAUCUCCCACUUAAGCGAAUGUACUUCAGACUUUAAAACCAGAUUCGGGUUUUGAAGAACAUUUUUUGACUGACAAUGACCACAAUUAUAAUACUUUGUUGUUAAAAGUGAGCAUCUAAGAGCUCUUCAUAUGAAACUGAAGGAAAAGUAAUAUCCACACAUAAUUCCAAUUAUUGCACUGCUCUGGGUGGCUGCAUGUUGGAGUAGCUCUGUCAACUACAUGUAAGUUUAGCCUUUUUCUUCUAGCAUCUUAAGGAAAAACUGUAUUUUUUGGACCUUUCACUUUUCUGUUUCUGAUGCUGUGAAGCUUAGAGGAUUUUUACAGC
This is a long non-coding RNA of Nothobranchius furzeri (turquoise killifish), 2255 nucleotides long. RefSeq lists it as uncharacterized. The record is from RefSeq and is a predicted model, not a curated record. Lineage: Eukaryota; Metazoa; Chordata; Actinopteri; Cyprinodontiformes; Nothobranchiidae.